AGAGUUUGAUCAUGGCUCAGGAUGAACGCUGGCGGCGUGCCUAAUACAUGCAAGUCGAACGAAGUCUUCGGACUUAGUGGCGAACGGGUGAGUAACACGUUGGUACCUACCCCUAAGUGGGGAAUAACUGCCCGAAAGGGUGGCUAAUACCGCAUAAUCCCGCAAGGGUAAAGCAGUAAUGCGCUUAGGGAGGGGCCUGCGUCUGAUUAGCUAGUUGGUAGUGUAAUGGACUACCAAGGCGACGAUCAGUAGCUGGAUCGAGAGGUUGACCAGCCACACUGGGACUGAGAUACGGCCCAGACUCCUACGGGAGGCAGCAGUAAGGAAUCUUCCACAAUGGACGAAAGUCUGAUGGAGCAACGCCGCGUGCAGGAUGACGGCCUUCGGGUUGUAAACUGCUUUUAUAUGGGAAGAUUAUGACGGUACCAUAUGAAUAAGGACCGGCUAACUACGUGCCAGCAGCCGCGGUAAUACGUAGGGUCCAAGCGUUAUCCGGAAUCACUGGGCGUAAAGCGUGCGUAGGUGGCGUGUUAAGUGUGGUGUUAAAUCGUGGGGCUCAACCCUGUCGAUGCAUCGCAUACUGGCAUGCUAGAGGGAAGCAGAGGCAAGUGGAAUUUGUAGUGUAGCAGUGAAAUGCGUAGAUAUUACAAGGAACACCAAUGGCGAAGGCGCUUGCUGGGCUUCUUCUGACACUGAGGUACGAAAGCGUGGGGAGCAAACAGGAUUAGAUACCCUAGUAGUCC
RNAcentral lists this ribosomal RNA (743 nucleotides) under uncultured bacterium. RNAcentral describes it as "bacterial SSU rRNA". It matches the Rfam family "Bacterial small subunit ribosomal RNA", at positions 8 to 796 of the family's 1533-position model. The record is from RNAcentral.